This 1024-nucleotide long non-coding RNA is filed under the name Homo sapiens (human). RNAcentral describes it as "HSALNT0056813". The record is from RNAcentral. Lineage: Eukaryota; Metazoa; Chordata; Mammalia; Primates; Hominidae.
GGGCAUUCGGUGAGGGACUGAGGCUGCUUCCACUCAUGUCAGAAGACAAAGGGGAGCCCCCUGUACAGAGACUACAAGAGAAGAGAAGAAGCAAGGGUCUGAGACGUCUGGCCAGAGGGUAGGAGAAAAAAGAAAUCCCUGAAAACGUGUCCUCAGUGGUACUUUCAUGGAUAGUGUUUUAAAGUAUGCAUCCAGAUGUCAUCUCUGCAUCAUAACAAAUCAACCCAACUUUUGGAAUUUGGGAUAUGAUAUAUAGUUAUUUCUGAGGUUCUUUCUCUCUUAUCAACGUUAUGCUGUGUGGACAAAGUAAGCUCAAGUAUUAGGAGUGAUGGUUCAAUUUAAUUUAACUUCCAGUUAAGUACAACAAUCCAAAUGAGUUCUGGCCGAGGGCAAAGGAAGCAUGGAAUAGAGAAAAGAGGAGCAAGAGAGAAAUACAUGUAUAGCCUUGUGAAGAGUUACAGAGCAUGAAGCAAUCACAAAAUUAUGUGUCUAUUUUGUUCAUUCUUCAUCACAUGGUGUAAUACAUGGACUGGGUUUAGUCACUUAUUAGGAAAAACAUGGCUGAAAAUCUUAGUGUUUUCAACAUAGAUGGAAUAUUUUUUCUCAGCUGCCUAAUUACACGUAAGUACGUCUGUGUGUGUGUGUAUCUGUCUUUGUGAAUUAAUGAUAGAUAUGUUUUAAAUUAUGAACAAAAUAUAUGAUACACAUGAAGUCUACACUGUUUACUCACACAUUAACUAAAUCAAUGAGUCAUUAAAGAAAAAAAGUAGUUUUCACACUUAUAUAUUUCAUACUUUGUGUCCCUCAAAGUAUCUAGCACAGCGCCAUUAAUAAACUUGAUGAAACUGUGAGAAAUGAAUAAAUGCAUAUUGUCUCACUGUGAAUGAAGUGAUAUGCCUUGAAGAUAACUGUCUAGCAUUCAAAGUGAAGUCUUUUAAAAUAUAAAAUGCUGUGCUUUUUUUGUGAGGUGGCCUGUUAGCUAUAUGACUUUAACUUAAACAUGACUGCUAUCACAAGAAUGGCA